AGUUGCAUGGUGAGCACAAAGAGAACUAUUAUUUCGCCUUUUACUAAAAAAAUACCGUGGGCAUGCCACACUAAGCAGCAUACUCUAAAGUAUGCGACAGAAAAUAC
Molecule: non-coding RNA, 107 nt
Organism: Triticum aestivum (bread wheat)
Lineage: Eukaryota; Viridiplantae; Streptophyta; Magnoliopsida; Poales; Poaceae
Source: Rfam